AACGAACGCUGGCGGCAUGCCUAACACAUGCAAGUCGAACGAAGCCUUCGGGCUUAGUGGCGCACGGGUGCGUAACGCGUGGGAAUCUGCCCCUUGCUUCGGAAUAACAGUUAGAAUUGAAUGCUAAUACCGGAUGAAGUCUUCGGACCAAAGAUUUAUCGGGAAGGGAUGAGCGCGCGUAGGAUUAGGUAGUUGGUGGGGUAAAGGCCUACCAAGCCGCCGAUCCUUAGCUGGUCUGAGAGGAUGAUAAGCCACACUGGGACUGAGACACGGCACAGACUCCUACGGGAGGCAGCAGUGUGGAAUAGUGGACAAUGGACGCAAGUCUGAUCCAGCAAUGCCGCGUGAGUGAUGAAGGCAGUAAGGUUGUAAAGCUCUUUUACCAGUGAUGAUAAUGACAGUACCUGGAGAAUAAGCUCCGGCUAACUCCGUG
Molecule: ribosomal RNA, 433 nt
Filed under: uncultured bacterium
Lineage: Bacteria
Description: partial 16S ribosomal RNA
Rfam family: Bacterial small subunit ribosomal RNA
Source: RNAcentral